UGGCGGCAUGCCUUACACAUGCAAGUCGAACGGCAGCACGGAGCUUGCUCUGGUGGCGAGUGGCGAACGGGUGAGUAAUAUAUCGGAACGUACCCUAGAGUGGGGGAUAACGUAGCGAAAGUUACGCUAAUACCGCAUACGAUCUAAGGAUGAAAGUGGGGGAUCGCAAGACCUCAUGCUCGUGGAGCGGCCGAUAUCUGAUUAGCUAGUUGGUAGGGUAAAAGCCUACCAAGGCAUCGAUCAGUAGCUGGUCUGAGAGGACGACCAGCCACACUGGAACUGAGACACGGUCCAGACUCCUACGGGAGGCAGCAGUGGGGAAUUUUGGACAAUGGGCGAAAGCCUGAUCCAGCAAUGCCGCGUGAGUGAAGAAGGCCUUCGGGUUGUAAAGCUCUUUUGUCAGGGAAGAAACGGUGAGAGCUAAUAUCUCUUGCUAAUGACGGUACCUGAAGAAUAAGCACCGGCUAACUACGUGCCAGCAGCCGCGGUAAUACGUAGGGUGCAAGCGUUAAUCGGAAUUACUGGGCGUAAAGCGUGCGCAGGCGGUUUUGUAAGUCUGAUGUGAAAUCCCCGGGCUCAACCUGGGAAUUGCAUUGGAGACUGCAAGGCUAGAAUCUGGCAGAGGGGGGUAGAAUUCCACGUGUAGCAGUGAAAUGCGUAGAUAUGUGGAGGAACACCGAUGGCGAAGGCAGCCCCCUGGGUCAAGAUUGACGCUCAUGCACGAAAGCGUGGGGAGCAAACAGGAUUAGAUACCCUGGUAGUCCACGCCCUAAACGAUGUCUACUAGUUGUCGGGUCUUAAUUGACUUGGUAACGCAGCUAACGCGUGAAGUAAACCGCCUGGGGAGUACGGUCGCAAGAUUAAAACUCAAAGGAAUUGACGGGGACCCGCACAAGCGGUGGAUGAUGUGGAUUAAUUCGAUGCAACGCGAAAAACCUUACCUACCCUUGACAU
Molecule: ribosomal RNA, 954 nt
Filed under: Janthinobacterium lividum
Lineage: Bacteria; Pseudomonadati; Pseudomonadota; Betaproteobacteria; Burkholderiales; Oxalobacteraceae
Description: bacterial SSU rRNA
Rfam family: Bacterial small subunit ribosomal RNA
Source: RNAcentral